GGGGAGUACGGGGAUGGUUCCCCCUGUGGGCUGCAAACCCACGAGCCGGCCUGUGACCCAGGUUGGAGUCCGGUUCGAUUCCGACUACUCCCC
Molecule: transfer RNA, 93 nt
Filed under: Desulfotomaculum nigrificans CO-1-SRB
Lineage: Bacteria; Bacillati; Bacillota; Clostridia; Eubacteriales; Desulfotomaculaceae
Description: Desulfotomaculum carboxydivorans CO-1-SRB Selenocysteine transfer RNA
Rfam family: Selenocysteine transfer RNA
Source: Rfam by way of RNAcentral